Molecule: ribosomal RNA, 735 nt
Filed under: uncultured fungus
Lineage: Eukaryota; Fungi
Description: SSU rRNA
Rfam family: Eukaryotic small subunit ribosomal RNA
Source: RNAcentral
AUGGUAGGAUAGAGGCCUACCAUGGUGGUAACGGGUAACGGGGUGUUAGGGCACGACACCGGAGAGGGAGCCUGAGAAACGGCUACCACAUCCAAGGAUGGCAGCAGGCGCGCAAAUUACCCAAUCCCGACACGGGGAGGUAGUGACAAUAAAUAACAAUACGGGGUUCUUUAGGAUCUCGUAAUUGGAAUGAGUACAAUUUAAAUCUCUUAACGAGGAACAAUUGGAGGGCAAGUCUGGUGCCAGCAGCCGCGGUAAUUCCAGCUCCAAUAGCGUAUAUUAAAGUUGUUGCAGUUAAAAAGCUCGUAGUUGAAUUUCGGGGUUAGUAGGUUGGUCAUGCCUCUGGUAUGUACUGGUCUCACUGAUUCCUCCUUCCUUAUGAACCGUAAUGCCAUUAAUUUGGUGUUGCGGGGAAUUUGGACUGUUACUUUGAAAAAAUUAGAGUGUUUAAAGCAAGCUAACGCUUGAAUACAUUAGCAUGGAAUAAUGAAAUAGGACGUUCGAUCUUAUUUUGUUGGUUUCUAGGAUUGACGUAAUGAUUAAUAGGGAUAGUUGGGGGCAUUAGUAUUCAAUUGUCAGAGGUGAAAUUCUUGGAUUUAUUGAAGACUAACUACUGCGAAAGCAUUUGCCAAGGAUGUUUUCAUUAAUCAAGAACGAAAGUUAGGGGAUCGAAGACGAUCAGAUACCGUCGUAGUCUUAACCAUAAACUAUGCCGACUAGGGAUCGGAUGAUGUA